This is a long non-coding RNA of Felis catus (domestic cat), 685 nucleotides long. RefSeq lists it as uncharacterized. Lineage: Eukaryota; Metazoa; Chordata; Mammalia; Carnivora; Felidae. The transcript has 2 exons. The record is from RefSeq and is a predicted model, not a curated record.
GGAGUGCAGAUUCUCCCCGAGUCAUAUUUGUCAUCUCUCUCCUUUCCUGUCUGUUCCAAUUGCCACCAAUCCAGUUCACCCCAUCCGCUUCUACUAGCGUUAUCGUCAUGGCCGGCUGAGUCUGCUGCCUCCAGGCUCUGCUGAUCUAAAGGUCUUAGUUCCACAGAGAGGAAUGCUUCUAUUGAGUGACACAACAAUGAUUCCAUUGAACUGGAAGCUGAGACUGUCAUCUUGCCACUAUGGGCUCCUUACACCACUGAAUUAACAAGGAAUGGAAGAGUAUUACUAUAUUGGCUGGGGUGAUUGAUCCUGAUUACUAAGGGAUAACCAAGUUGCUACUACACAAUGGGGAUAAAGAGGAGUGUGUCUGCAAUACAGCAAACCAUCUAGGACACCCGUUAGUAUUUCCUGUGAUGAAUGUCAACAGAAAUCUACAACCAUCUAAUUCAGGCAGGAUACCUAAUGGCCCGGCUGUUUCCAAUGAAGGUAUGGGUCAGCCGACCAGGCAAGGAACCAUGACCAGUUGAGGUGCUUGUUAAGAACAAAGGGAACGUGGAAUGAAGGUAGUUUUAAAUACCAGCUAUAGCUACAGGGCUAGUUACAAAAAUGAGGAAUGUAAUAACUAUGGGUAUUUCUUUCUUAUUUUGAUUUGAACACACAUAUUAAACAUUUUUGUUUUCCUCUC